Molecule: ribosomal RNA, 399 nt
Filed under: uncultured bacterium
Lineage: Bacteria
Description: bacterial SSU rRNA
Rfam family: Bacterial small subunit ribosomal RNA
Source: RNAcentral
CAGCAGCCGCGGUAAUACGGAGGGCGCGAGCGUUGUUCGGAAUCACUGGGCGUAAAGCGCGCGCAGGCGGGUGUGCAAGUCGGAAGUGAAAUCCCGGGGCUCAACUCCGGGGCUGCUUCCGAAACUGCGGACCUGGAGACCGGUAGAGGUGGGUGGAAUUCCCGGUGUAGCGGUGGAAUGCGUAGAGAUCGGGAAGAACACCUGUGGCGAAGGCGGCCCACUGGGCCGGAUCUGACGCUGAGGCGCGAAAGCGUGGGGAGCAAACAGGAUUAGAUACCCUGGUAGUCCACGCCGUAAACGAUGGGCACCAGGUGCCGGGGGGAGCGACCCCUUCGGUGCCGCAGCUAACGCGUUAAGUGCCCCGCCUGGGGAGUACGGCCGCAAGGCUGAAACUCAAAG